RNAcentral lists this non-coding RNA (1161 nucleotides) under Amborella trichopoda. Its description in RNAcentral is "Eukaryotic large subunit ribosomal RNA". It matches the Rfam family "Eukaryotic large subunit ribosomal RNA", at positions 715 to 1888 of the family's 3401-position model. Lineage: Eukaryota; Viridiplantae; Streptophyta; Magnoliopsida; Amborellales; Amborellaceae. The record is from Rfam by way of RNAcentral.
AUCUAGAAAUCUUAAAAUCACUAACUAUUUGUAACUGCCCAUUGAUGUUAAUUUUUAGAGCAUUCUCGGUGAAUAAAUCCUCAACUGCCUCAAAUGUGCGAUGGUCCUGAGCGGGGCGAGGCCAGAGGAAACUUUGAUGGAGGCCCGCAACGAAACUGACGUGCAAAUCGUUCCUUUAACUUGGGUAUGGGUGCAAAAGACUAUCGAACUGUCUAGUUGGUUCCCUCCAAAGUUUCCUUCAAGAUAGCUGGAGCCCGUAAACGAGUUCUAUCAAGUAAAGCCAAUGAUUAGAGGCAUUGGGGGAGGCAUUGGGGGCGCAAUGCCCUCGACCUGUUCUCAAACUUUAAAUAGGUAGGAACGAGUGGCUGCUCCGUCGAGUCACUCCACAGAAUCGAGCGCUCCAAGUGUGCCAUUUUUGGUAAGCAGAACUGGCGAUGCGGGAUGAAUCGAAAGCCGGGAUACGGUGCCGAAUUACGCGCUAACCCAAAACCCACAAAGGAUGUUGGUUGAUUAAGAAGCAGGACGGUGGUCAUGGAAGUCGAAAUCCACUAAGAAGUGUGUAACAACUCACCGGCCAAAUCAACUAGCCCCGAAAUGGAUGGCAUUGAAGUGUGCAACCCACACUCGGCCGUCAGGGCGAUUGCCAUGCCCCGAUGAGUAGGAGGGCACGACAGUUGCUGUGAAACCUGGGGCACGAGCCCUAGCGGAGCAGCCGUCGAUGCAGAUCUUGGUGGUAGUAGUAAAUAUUCAAAUGAGAACUUUGAAUGCCAAAGUGGGAAAGGUUCCAUGCGAACGGCAGUUGCACAUGGGUUAGUUGAUCCUAAGAGUCGGGGGAAGCCCAUCCGAGAGCACUGCUAGCAUGAGCUUCGACAGGAAAUCGGGUUAAAAUUCCUGAACCGGGACAUGGCGGCAGACGACAACGUUAGGGAGUCCAAAGACGUCGUCGAGGGCUUCGAGAAGAGUUAUCUUUUAUGUUUAACAACCUGCCCACCCUGGAAAUGGCUCAGCUGGAGGUAGGGUCCAGAGGCUGGAAGUGCACCGCAAAUUGCGUGGUAUCCGGUGUGACUCCGGCGGCCCAUGAAAAUAUGGAGGACCGAGUGCCGCGCACGCCCUGUCGUACUCAUAACCACAUCAGGUCUCCAAGAUGAACAACCUCUGGUC